UUUGAAAGCAAUUGAAGUACAGUGUGGUAUAAAGAGAAGUUUGUCCUUGCUAAAACUAAAGUUAAAGGAGCUUGGACUCAAGAGACGUAAAAGUGACACAAACCCUUAUUGAAAUUGAAUAAAUGAUUAUUGAACAGUUAUUAAUAAGUGGUAAUAUAGACUGCCUUAAUACUCA
Molecule: long non-coding RNA, 175 nt
Organism: Amphimedon queenslandica
Lineage: Eukaryota; Metazoa; Porifera; Demospongiae; Haplosclerida; Niphatidae
Exons: 2
Source: RefSeq, a predicted model, not a curated record